ACGGAUUAUCACAAAUGAAGGCUC
Molecule: non-coding RNA, 24 nt
Filed under: Cricetulus griseus (Chinese hamster)
Lineage: Eukaryota; Metazoa; Chordata; Mammalia; Rodentia; Cricetidae
Source: RNAcentral